This is a long non-coding RNA of Rattus norvegicus (Norway rat), 2343 nucleotides long. Lineage: Eukaryota; Metazoa; Chordata; Mammalia; Rodentia; Muridae. The record is from Ensembl.
GUACGUUGGUGUGAGUGUUGAAAGCGGCUGCUGUGUGUGUGUGUGUGUGUGUGUGUGUGUGUGUGUGUGUGUGUGUGUGUGUAUGUUGUGUAUCACGCACUGUAUAUUGUGCCAUGGUCUAGGUUUAAUUUGAGUGCGCUCGGGUGGAUGGGCUUCCCACCCCGUAUUUGAGUGCACCCCGUUUUUGAGUGCACUUGGGCGGAUGGGUUUCCCUGCCCCGGACAGAUGCCUGUGAGUAGGUACUGGGUUCCUACUCCGAAUAGCCGUUUUCUUUUUGUUUUCUGUUUUUAGAUAGCAGAAGUGGGAACGCCCCAGCUCUGGGAGACGUUCCAAGAGCCGAAUAUUGUCGGGAGAACCUGGCAACUGACAGUCGAAAAGAUCUGACUGUGACUUGACUUUGGAGGUCCCGUUCGGCUGCCUAUUUAAGUAUAGGCACGGACAAGUGUGCUUAGAUGUGUUAGUGUCUGUUGUCUGUAUUCUGUUUCUGUGUUUGGUAUCCCAGAAGCAGCUAAGGUUAAGCUGCAGUUUGGACCAGGUACUGAAGGUACCAGGCAUCUGUGGAAAUUGGUUAUAGGAUGCUUUGUCUUGGUCUUGUUUGUCUGGUUUGUUUUCUGUGGUAUUGUCCAGUGUCUUUUUGGCUUUUGUUUCGUUUUUGGACUUGGACUGACAACUGUGUUUGAAAUCUUGGACUGACAACUGUGUUUGAAAUCAUGAAACUGUUUGCUUUGUUUGUCAAGGAGUUUUACUUGGUCCUCUUGGUGCUUAACUUAAAAGUUAAAAAUAAUUUGCUUGAGAGAAAUUGUUUUCUGCCGGGGAGUUUUAUCUUUCUCUCUUGAGCCUCCUCCCCAAGGAGAGCUGCCCCUCUCUUUACUCCCAUUGUCCAGCCCAGCUGCUGUUAACCGUUGUGUAUGAAGGACUCCCGGUUAGCGAGUGAUCCGUCUGAAACAGGCAUUAACAAGAACCUGAAAGCUUUACCUUAGAUCCUGAAGAAAAAUUCUCCCUGUUGCUUAAACAUUCACAGCUUCUAAGGAAGGGACAGCACAGAGUAGAAAAAUGUAGGGGCUGAGGGUGGCAAGCAUGCAGGCCUGCUAGCAAGCUACAGGCUGCGCAUGGGCAGCAGCGCAGCUCUGGCCAAGUCAGCGUAAGAGGAGUUUCAAGAUCUACGCCCGAUAUUCACACACUGGCGGCAUAGGCGCAGACAGCAGAGAGGACAAAGGACCAGAGUGGCAAGCAAUCCAGUUGUGCUGAGUUCCUUGUCAUAAAGAAAGCCUUACUUACCCAAUCUGAGCAGCAUGACGCUUAGGUUGCUCACAGAACAGAAACCAUCUUUUGCUGUUUCUGGGAUUGUUGAAUCACCAGUACUUUUAACAAGUGCAAAUGUGGAGAGGGGCAGUCCUCCUGGCUCUCCUGCAGGCUACCAUAGAAGAGCACAAACUUCGAGGUCACAUAAUGUCACAGAAGCCACCUGAGAUGGAUGUCAUCAGAAGAAACUGUAGAGUCACUAAGCCACCAGGUUGAGCUGUUAUCAACAAAGCCCAUAGUCACUGUGUUUCCUACAAAUACCUUGGUUCUCCAAGGAAGGGCAAUCUCACUUGGCUUAGUGUUUAUCGCAUUGGACAUCAUUUUCCACCAAAACAGGCUGAGCAGAACAUCCCCUGAAACCCCUUUGCACAGAAUGGUUAUUUCCUUGGAGGGGGAGACAGAGCUUGGUCCCUGAGUCUCCAAAGUCACACAGCCAAGGUAAAGUGUAGCCAGGGUUUGGCGGUUUCUUGCAUUAGCAACAGCAUGUCUCUAAUUCUUGCCCAGUGUUAAAGUUGUACUGAUUCACUCCCCUAGAGAACAGGUGUGAUUCAGAAGGAUUGGAGGGGGAAAAUGGUACCUAAACACCUAAACUCGCUCUUAAAACUACACAUUUAAUCCAGCAAAGACAAGGAGAAAUGUCUGGAGAAAAAGCAGGGCCACACUGAGCAGACACAUGGAUAAAAGUGGGAGGGGCAAGGUGCCUGGGAGAGCCAUCAUUAGUUCUGAAACAGCUGCGUUUAUUCACUUUGCUUUUUACCCAUCGGAUCAAUACCACAUAAACGUGAGAGAAUGGGAGACAAGAGGAAAAGGAGAGGGAGGUCAUGCAAAACUUGAGAUUUAAGCUGAAGUUCUAGAAACUGGAAACUUCUACAGCUGACGCAUGUAAACCUGGUGUGUCUUUGGGUAGCUAUUACAAGGCUGGAGGAUGUCAAAGACAGCUCUGGAACACCAUGGUUCUCUUCUGUUUGUUUUCUCUACCGUAAACUUAAGUACCAGACAGAAAAUUGCUUGAUAAUAAACAUGUAUUAUCACAAAAUAUAA